Molecule: non-coding RNA, 630 nt
Organism: Paramisgurnus dabryanus
Lineage: Eukaryota; Metazoa; Chordata; Actinopteri; Cypriniformes; Cobitidae
Source: RefSeq, a predicted model, not a curated record
CAUUAGCAUAAAACUUACAGUGCAGUUUGGGUUUUUGGUGAAUAACCAGGUGUUUUCUUUAUAUUUGUACAUUCUAUAUUGUCAAUGUUUAAUUUAACCUGAAGGGGCAUUUAAAACAAAUAAUGGCAAAAGUGCCCUCUGGUGGCGUAUAUAUGCGUUGCACCAUAAGCGAAGAUGAGCCUCCAGACGUGACAGUUUUUUUUCUUUUCAAACUGAGGAGUUCGGACUCCGGACCGGCAUUUCUGCUUGUUGGUACCCUGAGAUAACCAUGGUUAAUAAAUGGUCCGUUAUGACACGUCACUGGCUUUAAAAUAUAAACCCCAUUGAUGCAAAAAGAUGCUGCAUGGAAUGACAAUGAGGUUUGGAACAGACUUGGUGAAGAACAUGGAAACAUCUCUAAAUAACAUGGCCCCAACCAUCAUCAGGAGUGCAAAAGAAUGAAGUAAAAAACAUCUCUACGCCAAUCUCAUUGGAACAGCAGAGGAAACCACAGAAGGUCUGGUGAGGAAUGCUGCACUUAUGUUAUUGCAAGCAUUAUUUUAAGAAAAUCCCAGCUUCCUUUGCUGUGUAAAUAGUGAACCCAAAGGUCCCACACCAACCAUAGUGUUCAACGGCUCUCCUGAUCCUCUC